CAGGAUGAACGCUAGCUACAGGCUUAACACAUGCAAGUCGAGGGGCAGCAUGGGUAGCAAUACUCAGAUGGCGACCGGCGCACGGGUGAGUAACACGUAUCCAACCUGCCGCUUACUCGGGGAUAGCCUUUCGAAAGAAAGAUUAAUACCCGAUGGUAUAAAGAGUUCGCAUGUUCUCUUUAUUAAAGAAUUUCGGUAAGCGAUGGGGAUGCGUUCCAUUAGAUAGUUGGCGGGGUAACGGCCCACCAAGUCUACGAUGGAUAGGGGUUCUGAGAGGAAGGUCCCCCACAUUGGAACUGAGACACGGUCCAAACUCCUACGGGAGGCAGCAGUGAGGAAUAUUGGUCAAUGGACGAGAGUCUGAACCAGCCAAGUAGCGUGAAGGAUGACUGCCCUAUGGGUUGUAAACUUCUUUUAUAAGGGAAUAAAGUGAGGGACGUGUCCCUUUUUGUAUGUACCUUAUGAAUAAGGAUCGGCUAACUCCGUGCCAGCAGCAGC
Molecule: ribosomal RNA, 498 nt
Filed under: uncultured bacterium
Lineage: Bacteria
Description: bacterial SSU rRNA
Rfam family: Bacterial small subunit ribosomal RNA
Source: RNAcentral